Molecule: long non-coding RNA, 142 nt
Organism: Alligator sinensis (Chinese alligator)
Lineage: Eukaryota; Metazoa; Chordata; Crocodylia; Alligatoridae
Exons: 3
Source: RefSeq, a predicted model, not a curated record
UAACCGUUGCACUUCCACAUGCUGUGAUGGCCCUUCUUCUCAAGGGCAAAACUCAGCACAUUUCCAAUUCCCGUCUUACUAAAUAUGAGAAACUUCUACUGUCAGCUGCAAAUGAACGGAGGCAAGGAGGAAGUCCCGCAGC